UCACUUUUAUUAGGAAAUAGGAGCUGGCCCAUUAAGCACUUUCCAAAUUUGGCCCAGGAGAUCUUCUUCUUCCUCCUCUCUCCCACGUGACAGAGAAACUUCCAUCCAUGGAGACAAAGAAUCCCCACCUCCGGGAUUCGCGACGCACAUACCUUCCCAACGCCUCCCGUCGCCUCUAUAAGAAGCCCCUCGUCCUCCUCGUUCCAUUCCC
RNAcentral lists this long non-coding RNA (211 nucleotides) under Hordeum vulgare. RNAcentral's name for it is "long non-coding RNA (HVUL_LNC006547)". Lineage: Eukaryota; Viridiplantae; Streptophyta; Magnoliopsida; Poales; Poaceae. The record is from RNAcentral.